This 21-nucleotide non-coding RNA is filed under the name Caenorhabditis elegans. Lineage: Eukaryota; Metazoa; Nematoda; Chromadorea; Rhabditida; Rhabditidae. The record is from RNAcentral.
UCUAUCGUUUUUUUAAUCUAA